Molecule: transfer RNA, 82 nt
Filed under: Candidatus Pacearchaeota archaeon
Lineage: Archaea; Nanobdellati
Description: tRNA-Ser
Rfam family: tRNA
About the family: Transfer RNA (tRNA) molecules are approximately 80 nucleotides in length. Their secondary structure includes four short double-helical elements and three loops (D, anti-codon, and T loops).
Source: RNAcentral
GCCGGGAUGGCCCAAUGGUAAGGCGCAGCCCUGGAAAGGCUGUUUCCGUAAGGAUAUCUGGGUUCGAAUCCCAGUCCCGGCG